GGAGAGUGCAAACGUUGUUCGGAUUCACUGGGCGUAAAGAGCACGUAGGCGGCUCGGCAAAUCGGUCGUGGAAUCCCGACGCUUACCGUCGGAACGGCGGCCGAAAAUACCGGGCUCGAGGGCGUGAGGGGUCACUGGAACUCCUGGUGAAGCGGUGAAAUGCGUAGAUAUCAGGAGGAACGCCGGAGGCGAAAGCGAGUGACUGGCGCGUUCCUGACGCUGAGGUGCGAAAGCUAGGGGAGCAAACAGGAUUAGAUACCCUGGUAGUCCUAGCCGUAAACGAUGGACACUGAGUGGAGGAGGGCUUGCCUUUCUCUGCUGCAGCUAACGCGUUAAGUGUCCCGCCUGGGGAGUACGGCCGCAAGGUUA
This 369-nucleotide ribosomal RNA is filed under the name uncultured bacterium. RNAcentral's name for it is "bacterial SSU rRNA". It matches the Rfam family "Bacterial small subunit ribosomal RNA", at positions 527 to 896 of the family's 1533-position model. The record is from RNAcentral.